Molecule: transfer RNA, 70 nt
Filed under: Marmota monax (woodchuck)
Lineage: Eukaryota; Metazoa; Chordata; Mammalia; Rodentia; Sciuridae
Description: tRNA.Ala
Source: RNAcentral
GGGGUUGUGGCUCAAGUGGUAGAGUGCUCACCUAGCACGUGUGAGGCACGGGGUUUGAUCCUCAGCACCA